This 329-nucleotide ribosomal RNA is filed under the name uncultured Byssocorticium. Its description in RNAcentral is "eukaryotic LSU rRNA". The stretch from base 1 to 71 matches the Rfam family "5.8S ribosomal RNA", at positions 84 to 154 of the family's 154-position model. The record is from RNAcentral. Lineage: Eukaryota; Fungi; Basidiomycota; Agaricomycetes; Atheliales; Atheliaceae.
GUGAGUCAUCGAAUCUUUGAACGCACCUUGCGCUCCUUGGUAUUCCGAGGAGCAUGCCUGUUUGAGUGUCAUUAAAUUCUCAACUUUGCUUGUCUUUUCAAGCAAAGCUUGGAUUUUGGAGCGUGCUGGCGAAGGUCGGCUCCUCUUUAAAUGCAUCAGCGGAAAGUCAUCUGGACUUUUGUGGUGAAUCGGCGUGAUAAUAAUGUUGUUGCGUCGUUGGCCCAAAGGUCUCUGUCCGCUUACAAUGGUCUUCGGACGACUCAUAAUGAAACUUGACCUCAAAUCAGGUAGGACUACCCGCUGAACUUAAGCAUAUCAAUAAGCGGAGG